Molecule: long non-coding RNA, 2132 nt
Filed under: Varroa destructor (honeybee mite)
Lineage: Eukaryota; Metazoa; Arthropoda; Arachnida; Mesostigmata; Varroidae
Description: uncharacterized LOC111253253, transcript variant X3
Source: RNAcentral
UAGCCCCACGUUAGUUGAGCCGCGCUACCGUGGCUCGGCCCGUUGAACGCCAAGAGGACGACUCUAUGUCGACCGGCUGCGGCGACCGCGGUACCGAUGUCCCGCUACGCCCAAGGGAGUGGUUCGUUUCGUCGUGGGCAUUACUCGAGAAAACCUAAAAGGUACAACGACGGCAGAGUCGGCGGCUGGUAGGAGCAGCUGCAGCAGCAACGUAAGUGGUACCUCCCACUUCUCUAGCUGUCUCCGCUGUGCUUAGGCCGAGCACAAGCACUGCCUCAUGUAAGGCAUGCUAGGUAGCCAAGUCCAGUGUUGUGACUACUGCUGAUGCUAUAGCUGCUAGCAGUGUGUUCCUUUCACGAACCCUCUCUAAGGGCCUACGAAGACAUAGUAGAGGUUGUAAAUUGUAAAAGGAGUACCUUCGUGUGAGGCUGUAGCAUUGUAGUUUGUUGGUGGCUAGAGUUUGACCCCAUAGGGCUUCAGUGGCUUAGAUCUACUCAUGGUCAUUUAAAGAAUGGUUUGCUGGACCAGGCGGAUGAGUCGACAUCGGUCCGGCACCAGCAGCAGAAUAAAAACAGCGUAGUUGGUCGUGGUGAACAUGGCCGUCGUUGCCGCCACUCGAACUGGCCAGCGGCCGCGGGCACUGUCCUGGCGAGGCGCUGGCGUCGACAAGGGCACGAAAUCCAGAGGCGGAUCACCGGAAUGGGCUGAAGGGUCGACAAGGGCUUAAAUGGCUAAAAGCACAAGAAGAAACAAAAGAGCACUUCAGUGGUACACGAGAGGAGCAAGCUAUAUUAAAGAAACCAAUAGCUGACGCACUCGUGGCGUGUCGGAGCUGAGAAAAAUUGCGUCCCUCGAUAUUAGCCCUGCAUGGAGACGGGUCCGAGGCCGUACAAGCUCUUACAAGAUUACCCAAGCGUUUCCGCAGAAUCAUUUCUAAAUGUGACCAAAAGACGGAAGAAUCGAUCAAUAAUGACAGCGAAACACCUGCUCGUGGGGUCAAAAUUCCGAAACUUCUUAUACAAAGGACAUCUAAGUAGAGGCCAUUCUGAUGGAGAUUGGCGCUUGAAGAACUAUUCAACGCCAUUACGGAAGACGGAUCAGCAGUGAAGCUGGUAUAUGAUUUUUGGUAGGUUUUGAAUUUCAGGCACAAUAGAGAAAGAUUUUAGUGAAAUACAUCACCUUAGGCAGUUCGAAAAACCCAUCGCAUUUAUAGGAGGCAAGUAUCAGAGGCCUUAAACAGCCCAAUAUCAAGAAGACCCAAGUGCACCUUUUACUAAAGGCCCCACAUUUAAGAAAAUAUCAUUAAACAAGGUUGGUAUUGAUAACGCUUUCGUGCCAAUUGUAUUUCGGUAUUCUAGCAGACGAAAGAACGUUGUUUUGAGUCAUUGCUAACCUUAAUCAUUUUCUUGUAGGUAUUAGUAUUAAACGAUGAAAUAGUAAAAAACGACAAAGUUGCCGGGCCCACCAGGCCGCGAUAUCACGGACAACUCAAACCAAGCUUGAUGCUAGUUAGGUAAUGAGGCGUACUACUAUACAAAUAUCAACGUUAAUAUUAGCAGGCAACAAUGACUGGUUGGUCAGGCGUCCACAGAGGGCCCGUCGAAUACGUUAGUCUGACAUAAUAAUCACGUUCUAACGACUACCACGCCCGACAAGAUUACCCUUUACUAAUAUCUCUGCUGACCGAGUGGAAUAAUGCGCUCUGUUCUCAAAAGGCAUUAGUGUUACACAUAGGAGUCACAUUUAUUAAAUGAUUACGAUCGAGAUUCAGGAUUGGAUCACAAGAGAAAAUUAAGUAUGUCGGAAGUAAAUCGCUAUACGACCUUCGAAGGUGUCAGCGGUCAAACGAAGGAAAUUUUGCGAUUAAACUAUUUUCAGAUGCCACAAAUUUCAGACACGAUGUUAUCAGCCUGUACUUCGUUUAUAUUACAAUUAUUUCCGUAUAUUUACUCUUUAUUGCUAGCUUAUUACAUGGCCAUAUUAAAUCACCCAAAAAAUGUCCUUACCCACUUAGCAUGGCAUUACAUGAAGGCAUAAAAUACGAUUUGUCGAAUGUGCGCAUGCCCCUAUGGUCGCAUAUAACAUAUAUAUUGAAAUAAAUGAUUAUACAUUUCUGUGUAUAUUUAUCACCA